RNA transcript from Mauremys reevesii (Reeves's turtle), 4124 nucleotides. It is a transcript of the gene named zinc finger protein 800, with no coding region annotated. NCBI's taxonomy places the organism in Eukaryota, Metazoa, Chordata, Testudines, Geoemydidae. The transcript has 7 exons. The record is from RefSeq and is a predicted model, not a curated record.
AGUCGCCGCGGCCGCAGUCACUUCCUGCCCCUGUGCCCAUCCGGCUCCGGGGUCAGUGGUCGCCGCUCCCGCUGCGCCGGCGGGACACGGGACGGUGAAGUUUACUUCGGAGGGGGAAAGAGUCCGCCCGGCGGAGGCUGGUGCGGCGGCUCCCUGCGGGCGCAGCGCCCCGCCCCGCCCCGCUCCCUGCCGCCGGCCGCCGCGCUGCUUUGGCGCCCGCUGUCACCUGCCGGCUCCGCGCGGGACCCGCUUGGCUCAGCCCCGGCCGCCGCCCGCUCCCCGCGGGGCUCUGGGAGAGCCGCGCCCCCGCGGAACGGGAGCUGGCGGCUGCCCCGCACUCCGUCCCCAGGAGCCUGCCAGAAACAAGCUGCUGGAUGUAGAAGGAAAGUAGGUCGUGCACACAGAAAAUGCCUCUAAGGGAUAAGUGUUGUCAGACUGACCAUCAUCACCAUGGGUGCUGUGAACCAGUGUAUUUGUUAGAACCUGGUGAUCCUCCUUUGUUACAGCAACCUCUGCAGAUGUCAAAAUCUGGUAUUCAACAAAUUAUUGAGUGUUUUCGAUCAGGAACUAAACAACUUAAACAUAUCUUGUUAAAAGACGUGGACACCAUUUUUGAAUGUAAAAUAUGCCGCAGUCUCUUCAGAGGAUUACCAAACUUAAUUACUCAUAAAAAGUUCUAUUGUCCUCCAAGUCUCCAGAUGGAUGACAACCUUCCAGAUGUCAAUGAUAAACAAAGCCAAGCCGUAAAUAAUCUUCUGGAAGCCAUUUAUCCUAGAGUGGACAAACAAGAAUAUGUAAUUAAGCUGGAACCUAUAGAAACAAAUCAGAAUGCUGUGUUUCAGUACAUUUCAAGAACUGACAACCCAGAAGAGAACAUUGAGAUUAGCAGUAGUCCUGAACAAGCUCCAUUACAAAUACAGGAACCUACCACUGAGCAACCCAAAACUGUUUCAACUCCAGAUACAGAAACUUUAGAGUUGCCACCUGCUGAUGCUGUAAUAAAUGUAAUACCUACUCCUGACGAACAACCUCCAGCAUUAAAUCCUGAAUUGGACUCUUCUGAUAAUUCUGAUUUUGGCCAUCAGUUGAUUUGUUGUUUAUGUAGAAAAGAAUUUCAUUCCAGACGUAGUGUACGUCGGCACAUUAGAAAAGUACACAAAAAAAAGAUGGAAGAACUAAAGAAGUACAUAGAAACAAAAAAGAAACCAAAUCAGCGCUCUACAAAAGGACGAAAUAAGAAUGUGCUUGUAACAUUAGGUAGAAGUUGUCCUGUAUGUUAUAAAUCAUUUGCUACAAAAGCCAAUGUAAGGAGGCAUUUUGAUGAAGUUCAUAGGGGGUUAAGGAGGGAUUCCAUUACUCCUGAUAUUGCUACAAAGCCUGGGCAACCUUUGUUUUUGGAUACAGUUUCUGCUAAAAAAUCUUUUAAGACCCGAAAACAAAAGUCUUCCUCAAAGGCUGAAUACAAUUUAACUGCAUGCAAAUGCCUUCUGUGCAAGAGAAAAUAUAGUUCACAAAUAAUGCUUAAAAGGCACAUGCAAAUUGUUCACAAGAUAACGCUUUCCGGAAAGAACUCUAAAAGAGAGAAAGGACCCAAUAAUACUGCCAACGGCACAGAAAUAAAAGUAAAAGUUGAACCAGCAGAUUCUGUAGAAUCUUCAACCCCUUCCGUCACCCUUUCUCCACAGAAUGAGUUAAAGGGAACAAGUCAUUCAAAUGAGAAAAAGAACACACCAGCAGCACAGAAAAAUAAAGUUAAGCGAGACCUUGAAACCCCUAAAUCAACCAAUCCAUCUGCUGCAGGUGGCCAGCAAAAAACAAGGAAGCCAAAACUUUCAGCUGGCUUUGACUUCAAGCAGCUUUACUGUAAACUGUGUAAACGCCAAUUUACUUCUAAACAGAACUUGACAAAACACAUUGAGUUGCACACAGAUGGAAAUAACAUUUAUGUUAAAUUCUACAGGUGUCCUCUCUGCACUUAUGAAACACGUCGCAAACGUGAUGUGAUAAGGCAUAUAACUGUAGUUCAUAAAAAGUCAUCACGUUACCUUGGUAAAAUAACUGCAAGUUUAGAAAUCAGAGCAAUAAAAAAGCCUAUUGAUUUUGUUCUAAAUAAGGUGGCAAAAAGAGGCCCUCAGAGGGAUGAAGCAAGACAGAUUGGUUCAAAACAGGAUGUCGCCUCUAACUCACCAAGUAAAAAGUUUGAAGGAGCUGAUGUUGGCAUAGAAGUAAAAGUCACAAAAAACUUUUCUCUUCACAGAUGCAAUAAAUGUGGAAAGGCAUUUGCCAAAAAGACUUUUCUAGAACACCAUAAGAAAACUCACAAGGCAAAUGCAUCUCAUUCACCAGAAGAAAACAAAACCAAAGGCAGAAGUACAAGAUCAAAAGCUCUUGUCUGACGUGCUCUCUUCCCGAAGACAACUGUCUUGGUAUACCUUCUGCAGUGGAUUACCAGUCAGGCAUACGUAGAUAACUUCAAGUGAUGUACGGAAAGUUUGGAGUUCAUUUGAGUGGAAAGACUUUAAUUUGAUGUUAGAACCACUAAUAUCUUGAAAAUGGUACCAUAAGAAAAAUGAGGAAAUACUUUAUUAAACUAUUGUUUUCUUACUAAAUUAAUAACUAUUCUCAUGGCUUGUUGUGACAGUGCCUCAUCCCAACACUGUCAGGUAACUGUUGAUUUGCAAUGCACAAGCUGCAUCUAUAGACUAGCAAUUAACUACCCUUGUCUCUAAGCAGUUCAGCAAAGUUAUCAAUAGAAAAUGAACUUUCUGUGCUUUAAAAACAAAAAACCCUUUACAAAAAGCAUUUUUUUGAAGAAAACUUAUUUUUAUUUAGGAAAUCAACUUGAGAGGUCACCACAGAUACUGACCUUAGUACUGCUAAUACUGAUGAACCAAUUCUGUGACUUUUUAUGUGGUAUUCUACUUGGCUGGCAAACUUUUGCUUUGUUAUGUACUGUUUUAAAUUUAUUACAAAUGAAUGUAUAAGAGCAAACACCAUAUUAGUGUAUAUUGGCUGAAUUGUUCUAAUUUUUAGUAAUUGUCAUAACUUCAGUUUGUUCAGUUUGACUGAUUUCCCAACUUUUGGGUGUACUGAAUUUCACUCUACUAAAGUUGCUGCAGAGAUAUUGCCAAUACUUUUUUUUUUUCUUCAUGCAUGGUUCAUAGGACAGCCUUUCAUUUGUAAACAUUUAAGAAGUUUACAAAAAUACCUACAUCCCCUAUUCCAUAUUCUUUAAUUUUGUGUUAAAUUUUAUACACAAGCACUUUAAUGAUAGUUGCAGUUAAUUUUUCAGUUAUUGUUUUAAAAAAACACACUAAUGUUAAUAUGAAGGUAGUGAAUAUUUUCUGAUGUUUUAUAGACACAGACAAUCCAUGCACAACCACUUCUUAUAAUGCUAGUUUUAUUUCUUUAAAUAUUAAUAAAAGGGGAGGAUAGUGUGAGAGAAACUCAGAAUAUUUUUUUCUCGCAAGAUCUUAAAUGACCACUUUAGGUAGCACUUGACUUUAUUGUAGGAUUUGCAAAAUGCUUACUGAUCCUUUUGUCUAUUUUAUAAUCAAGAUAUUAGCAAAACAGUAGCACACCUGCCAUUAUGGAAAUCUUGGCAGGCUUCUGUGCAUCAAUUUUUUUUACUUUUUAGAAGAUAUUUUGUUUAGUGAUUUGUGUCAAAUUGCCACAAUUUGAAAGGUACUGUACAUCAGAAGAAAUACCAUGUUUUUAUAGAGGUUCACUCUCUUGCUUAGGGAGGUGCCUUGUCAUAUAUACUUUUUGUAUUAAAAAAAUCUAAAAAUGUUGAUCACAAGGUCAUCGAUUUAAAAAAAAAUGCUUUUAUGGAUAGAAGAAUGUUUGGCCUUUUUAGUGCUUUGCACUAAAAAAAAUACACUGUGAAUGGGAACUGGACUAUAACUGUUGCUGGAAAUGUUCUAUAUUGAAUGUACAUGCUCUUGUUUGGAUAAAUGUACUGUAUUUGGAAAUAAAUCAGACUGGAAGUUACUUUAACAAAGUGUGCUUAGAAAAAAAGGUAUAUUCUAGUGAAACUGGAAUGCCUUUCUUCAGUCAUAAACCAAUCCAAUUACUACCACCAGCUACACUUCAACAUUUGCAUUUCUAUAAACUUUAUUUCUCUA